UGAGUAACCUGCCCUUAACUCUGGGAUAAGCCUGGGAAACUGGGUCUAAUACCGGAUAUGACUCCUCAUCGCAUGGUGGGGGGUGGAAAGCUUUAUUGUGGUUUUGGAUGGACUCGCGGCCUAUCAGCUUGUUGGUGAGGUAAUGGCUCACCAUGGCGACGACGGGUAGCCGGCCUGAGAGGGUGACCGGCCACACUGGGACCGAGACACGGCCCAGACUCCUACGGGAGGCAG
RNAcentral lists this ribosomal RNA (234 nucleotides) under uncultured bacterium. Its description in RNAcentral is "partial 16S ribosomal RNA". It matches the Rfam family "Bacterial small subunit ribosomal RNA", at positions 118 to 351 of the family's 1533-position model. The record is from RNAcentral.